This 253-nucleotide ribosomal RNA is filed under the name uncultured bacterium. Its description in RNAcentral is "partial 16S ribosomal RNA". It matches the Rfam family "Bacterial small subunit ribosomal RNA", at positions 524 to 776 of the family's 1533-position model. The record is from RNAcentral.
UACGUAGGGCGCAAGCGUUGUCCGGAAUUAUUGGGCGUAAAGAGCGUGUAGGCGGCUGGGUAGGUCCGUUGUGAAAACUCGAGGCUCAACCUCGAGACGCCGAUGGAAACCCUCCAGCUAGAGUCCGGAAGAGGAGAGUGGAAUUCCUGGUGUAGCGGUGAAAUGCGCAGAUAUCAGGAAGAACACCCGUGGCUAAGGCGGCUCUCUAGUACGGUACUGACGCUGAGACGCGAAAGCGUGGGGAGCGAACAGG